This 517-nucleotide ribosomal RNA is filed under the name Hemiergis gracilipes (south-western mulch-skink). Its description in RNAcentral is "partial 16S ribosomal RNA". It matches the Rfam family "Bacterial large subunit ribosomal RNA", at positions 1822 to 2595 of the family's 2925-position model. Lineage: Eukaryota; Metazoa; Chordata; Lepidosauria; Squamata; Scincidae. The record is from RNAcentral.
UUAGCAACACAAGUAUUAAAGGUCCUGCCUGCCCAGUGAACUAUUUUAAACGGCCGCGGUAUUCUAACCGUGCAAAGGUAGCGUAAUCAUUUGUCUUCUAAAUAAAGACCAGUAUGAACGGCUAAAUGAGGACAAACCUGUCUCCUACAACCCAUCAGUGAAACUGAUCUUCCAGUCCAAAAGCUGGAAUAUUACCAUAAGACGAGAAGACCCUGUGGAGCUUAAAAUCCACCUACUAACAAAUACACAAUAACUAGUAUAAGAUUUUAAGUUGGGGCGACUUCGGAACAAAACAAAACUUCCGAGCACAGAACCACCACUUCUAACCAAGGCAUACAAGCCAAAGAAAAAAUUGACCCAGUCACACUGAUCAACGAACCAAGUUACCCCAGGGAUAACAGCGCCAUCUUCUUCAAGAGUCCAUAUCGACAAGAAGGUUUACGACCUCGAUGUUGGAUCAGGGCACCCCAAUGGUGCAACCGCUAUUAAAGGUUCGUUUGUUCAACGAUUAACAGCC